GACGAACCGUACGAACGUUAUUCGGAAUCACUGGGCUUAAAGGGUGCGUAGGCUGCGCGGAAAGUUGGGUGUGAAAUCCCUCGGCUCAACCGAGGAACUGCGCCCAAAACUGCCGUGCUCGAGGGAGACAGAGGUGAGCGGAACUUAGGGUGGAGCGGUGAAAUGCGUUGAUAUCCUAAGGAACACCGGUGGCGAAAGCGGCUCACUGGGCCACAACUGACGCUGAGGCGCGAAAGCUAGGGGAGCAAACAGG
Molecule: ribosomal RNA, 253 nt
Filed under: uncultured bacterium
Lineage: Bacteria
Description: partial 16S ribosomal RNA
Rfam family: Bacterial small subunit ribosomal RNA
Source: RNAcentral